This 481-nucleotide ribosomal RNA is filed under the name uncultured bacterium. RNAcentral's name for it is "bacterial SSU rRNA". It matches the Rfam family "Bacterial small subunit ribosomal RNA", at positions 501 to 985 of the family's 1533-position model. The record is from RNAcentral.
CUACGUGCCAGCAGCCGCGGUAAUACGGAAGGUCCGGGCGUUAUCCGGAUUUAUUGGGUUUAAAGGGAGCGUAGGCUGGAGAUUAAGUGUGUUGUGAAAUGUAGACGCUCAACGUCUGACUUGCAGCGCAUACUGGUUUCCUUGAGUACGCACAACGUUGGCGGAAUUCGUCGUGUAGCGGUGAAAUGCUUAGAUAUGACGAAGAACUCCGAUUGCGAAGGCAGCUGACGGGAGCGCAACUGACGCUUAAGCUCGAAGGUGCGGGUAUCAAACAGGAUUAGAUACCCUGGUAGUCCGCACAGUAAACGAUGGAUGCCCGCUGUUAGCGCCUGGCGUUAGCGGCUAAGCGAAAGCAUUAAGCAUCCCACCUGGGGAGUACGCCGGCAACGGUGAAACUCAAAGGAAUUGACGGGGGCCCGCACAAGCGGAGGAACAUGUGGUUUAAUUCGAUGAUACGCGAGGAACCUUACCCGGGCUUGAA